RNAcentral lists this ribosomal RNA (467 nucleotides) under uncultured bacterium. Its description in RNAcentral is "bacterial SSU rRNA". It matches the Rfam family "Bacterial small subunit ribosomal RNA", at positions 330 to 794 of the family's 1533-position model. The record is from RNAcentral.
GCCAGACUCCUACGGGAGGCAGCAGUGAGGAAUAUUGGUCAAUGGGCGGGAGCCUGAACCAGCCAAGUCGCGUGAGGGAAGACGGUCCUACGGAUUGUAAACCUCUUUUGCCGGGGAGCAACGGGGUCCUUGCGAGGGCCCAAUGAGAGUACCCGGAGAAAAAGCAUCGGCUAACUCCGUGCCAGCAGCCGCGGUAAUACGGAGGAUGCGAGCGUUAUCCGGAUUUACUGGGUUUAAAGGGUGCGUAGGCGGAUUUGUAAGUCAGCGGUAAAAAUGCGGUGCUCAACGCCGUAUCGCCGUUGAAACUGCAGGUCUUGAGUGAGCGAGAAGUAUGCGGAAUGCGUGGUGUAGCGGUGAAAUGCAUAGAUAUCACGCAGAACUCCGAUUGCGAAGGCAGCAUACCGGCGCUCAACUGACGCUGAGGCACGAAAGCGUGGGGAUCGAACAGGAUUAGAUACCCGGGUAGC